CGUGUAGGCGGUUUGGUAAGUCUGAUGUGAAAGCCCCGGGCUCAACCUGGGAAGUGCAUUGGAAACUGUCAGACUUGAAUACGGGAGAGGGUAGUGGAAUUCCUGGUGUAGGAGUGAAAUCCGUAGAUAUCGGGAGGAACACCGGUGGCGAAGGCGGCUGCCUGGACCGAUAUUGACGCUGAGACGCGAAAGCGUGGGUAGCAAACAGGAUUAGAUACCCUGGUAGUCCACGCCGUAAACGAUGAGUACCUAGGUGUUGCGGGUAUUGACCCCUGCAGUGCCGCAGCUAACGCAUUAAGUACUCCGCCUGGGAAGUACGGUCGCAAGACUAAA
This 333-nucleotide ribosomal RNA is filed under the name uncultured bacterium. RNAcentral's name for it is "bacterial SSU rRNA". It matches the Rfam family "Bacterial small subunit ribosomal RNA", at positions 568 to 898 of the family's 1533-position model. The record is from RNAcentral.